GACGAACGCUGGCGGCGUGCUUAACACAUGCAAGUCGAACGGAAAGGCCCUGCUUUUGUGGGGUGCUCGAGUGGCGAACGGGUGAGUAACACGUGAGUAACCUUCCCUUGCCUUUGGGAUAACUUCAGGAAACUGGGGCUCAUACCGGAUAGGCGCUCCUGCUGCAUGGUGGGGGUUGGAAAGUUUCGGCGGUUGGGGAUGGACUCGCGGCUUAUCAGCUGGUUGGUGGGUUAGUGGCUUACCAAGGCUUUGGCGGGUAGCCGGCCUGAGAGGGUGACCGGCCAAAUUGGGCCUGAGAUACGGCCCAGACUCCUCCGGGAGGCAGCAGUGGGGAAUAUUGCACAAUGGGCGGAAGCCGGAUGCAGCAACGCCGCGUGCGGGAUGACGGCCUUCGGGUUGUAAACCGCUUUCGCCUGUGACGAAGCGUGAGUGACGGUAAUGGGUAAAGAAGCACCGGCUAACUACGUG
Molecule: ribosomal RNA, 468 nt
Filed under: uncultured bacterium
Lineage: Bacteria
Description: partial 16S ribosomal RNA
Rfam family: Bacterial small subunit ribosomal RNA
Source: RNAcentral